UGUUGUUGUUUUUCCCGCACGACAGCCCGUAUGAGCGCUCCGGCCCGAGCGAAGCCAUCGCUGGCUCUCCCUUUCGGAGUCUGCUCGCCAAAUUAAUGCUACUUGGUCUCCAGCACUGCUCAAACCAGGGGACGUCAUCACUGUGCAGAGUUUUCACUCCUCAAAUCAAGCGGAGCGGGAAUUGUAUGUGCCGAUCCAGUCCGCUGUGCUCAUCUUCAUCAUCUCCAGAUGGUCAGAAGAGGUGGCUCAGGCAUCAGAUUAGGAUACUCCCGAGACGCCUCCCUGAUGAGGAGUUUCAAGCAUGGCCCACUGAGAAGAGCCCCCAGGGACGACCAAGGAUAUGCUGGAGAGACUUACAGUAUGUCUCCUCGUUGGUCUGGGGACAGAGGAACAGGACAAAGUG
Molecule: long non-coding RNA, 403 nt
Organism: Hippocampus zosterae (dwarf seahorse)
Lineage: Eukaryota; Metazoa; Chordata; Actinopteri; Syngnathiformes; Syngnathidae
Exons: 3
Source: RefSeq, a predicted model, not a curated record